Molecule: ribosomal RNA, 497 nt
Filed under: uncultured bacterium
Lineage: Bacteria
Description: partial 16S ribosomal RNA
Rfam family: Bacterial small subunit ribosomal RNA
Source: RNAcentral
GAUGAACGCUGGCGGCGUGCCUAAUACAUGCAAGUCGAGCGAACAGACGAGGAGCUUGCUCCUCUGACGUUAGCGGCGGACGGGUGAGUAACACGUGGAUAACCUACCUAUAAGACUGGGAUAACUUCGGGAAACCGGAGCUAAUACCGGAUAAUAUAUUGAACCGCAUGGUUCAAUAGUGAAAGACGGUUUUGCUGUCACUUAUAGAUGGAUCCGCGCCGCAUUAGCUAGUUGGUAAGGUAACGGCUUACCAAGGCAACGAUGCGUAGCCGACCUGAGAGGGGGGACGGCAAAACGGGAGCAGAGCAGCGGUCCGGACGCUGAGGGGGGGACGAGGGAGGGAAUCUUCGGAAAGGGGGGAGAGCCGAAGGGGGCAACGCGGGGUAAGGGAUGAAGGUCUUGGGAUGGAAAACUUGGUUUGGUGGGGAAAAAAAAAUGGGAAGGUAACAGUGCAGGUCGGGACGGUACCUAAGAAGAAAGCAAAGGCUAACUAGGGG